CUCUUUUAGUUUAUGAAAAAAUAUUAGUUUGAAGAGCUGAAGAUGGGUUGUUCUAGGGAGU
Molecule: transfer RNA, 61 nt
Filed under: Moniezia benedeni
Lineage: Eukaryota; Metazoa; Platyhelminthes; Cestoda; Cyclophyllidea; Anoplocephalidae
Description: tRNA-Phe
Source: RNAcentral